AGUAGGUGAGUGCACAGGGCUGUGUUGCAGUAGAAGCCUGUUGGAGCUGGUAUUCCCAGGUUGAUUACAGCUGACAUGGUCAGAGAAGGUGUGGCAGUAAUUGAUGUGGGUAUCAACUAUAUACAAGAUCCUGUGACGGGAAAGACCAAGUUAGUUGGAGAUGUGGACUUUGAAGCUGUUAAGAAGAAAGCCAGCUUCAUUACUCCAGUCCCAGGAGGUGUGGGACCCAUGACCGUGGCCAUGCUUCUUAAGAACACACUUUUAGCUGCAAAGAAUAUCGCCUGCUAGAUCACAGCGGGGAGUACAUGAAACGAAUUCUGCUGCUUACUCAUUUGA
Molecule: long non-coding RNA, 336 nt
Filed under: Mus musculus (house mouse)
Lineage: Eukaryota; Metazoa; Chordata; Mammalia; Rodentia; Muridae
Description: long non-coding RNA chrX:122347612-122347948
Source: RNAcentral